GAUGAACGCUGGCGGCGUGCCUAAUACAUGCAAGUCGAGCGAACGGACGAGAAGCUUGCUUCUCUGAUGUUAGCGGCGGACGGGUGAGUAACACGUGGAUAACCUACCUAUAAGACUGGGAUAACUUCGGGAAACCGGAGCUAAUACCGGAUAAUAUUUUGAACCGCAUGGUUCAAAAGUGAAAGACGGUCUUGCUGUCACUUAUAGAUGGAUCCGCGCUGCAUUAGCUAGUUGGUAAGGUAACGGCUUACCAAGGCAACGAUGCAUAGCCGACCUGAGAGGGUGAGGGGCAACACGGGAACGGAGCCCGGUCCAAGACACAACGGGGAGGAGGAAGUGGGAAUUCUGCGGAAAGGGGAGAAAGCCUGAGGAAGAAACGCCGGGGGAGGAAGGAAGGUCUAGGGAUCGAAAAACUUUGUUAUAGGGAAAGAAAAUAUGUAAAAGAACCGGGGCAAAGCUGGAGGUUACAAAAACAAAAGGCCACGGAAAAAUAAGGG
This 497-nucleotide ribosomal RNA is filed under the name uncultured bacterium. Its description in RNAcentral is "partial 16S ribosomal RNA". It matches the Rfam family "Bacterial small subunit ribosomal RNA", at positions 28 to 507 of the family's 1533-position model. The record is from RNAcentral.